CACACUGGACUGAGACACGGUCCAGACUCCUACGGGAGGCAGCAGUGGGGAAUAUUGCACAAUGGGCGCAAGCCUGAUGCAGCCAUGCCGCGUGUGUGAAGAAGGCCUUCGGGUUGUAAAGCACUUUCAGUCGUGAGGAAGGUGGUGUAGUUAAUAGCUGCAUCAUUUGACGUUAGCGACAGAAGAAGCACCGGCUAACUCCGUGCCAGCAGCCGCGGUAAUACGGAGGGUGCGAGCGUUAAUCGGAAUUACUGGGCGUAAAGCGCAUGCAGGUGGUUUGUUAAGUCAGAUGUGAAAGCCCGGGGCUCAACCUCGGAAUAGCAUUUGAAACUGGCAGACUAGAGUACUGUAGAGGGGGGUAGAAUUUCAGGUGUAGCGGUGAAAUGCGUAGAGAUCUGAAGGAAUACCGGUGGCGAAGGCGGCCCCCUGGACAGAUACUGACACUCAGAUGCGAAAGCGUGGGGAGCAAACAGGAUUAGAUACCCUGGUAGUCCACGCCGUAAACGAUGUCUACUUGGAGGUUGUGGCCUUGAGCCGUGGCUUUCGGAGCUAACGCGUUAAGUAGACCGCCUGGGGAGUACGGUCGCAAGAUUAAAACUCAAAUGAAUUGACGGGGGCCCGCACAAGCGGUGGAGCAUGUGGUUUAAUUCGAUGCAACGCGAAGAACCUUACCUACUCUUGACAUCCAGAGAACUUUCCAGAGAUGGAUUGGUGCCUUCGGGAACUCUGAGACAGGUGCUGCA
RNAcentral lists this ribosomal RNA (743 nucleotides) under Vibrio sp. a262. RNAcentral's name for it is "bacterial SSU rRNA". It matches the Rfam family "Bacterial small subunit ribosomal RNA", at positions 309 to 1045 of the family's 1533-position model. The record is from RNAcentral. Lineage: Bacteria; Pseudomonadati; Pseudomonadota; Gammaproteobacteria; Vibrionales; Vibrionaceae.